CCCUAUUAUUUUAGAAUGUUAAUAUUUAUUGUACCUGAGUAGUAAUAGAUAUGUUCUUGAAACUUAAAGAAUUUGGCGGUAUCUCAUUCCGUCUAGAGGAAUCUGUCUCGUUAUCGAUAGUCCACGUUGGACCUUACUUAUUUGAUUAUGGUUUGUAUACCGCCGUUUAUUGAUUAUCUUUUUAGGGUUAUAAAAUUUUCUUGCUUCUUUAUUUUGAUAUAUUUCAGGUCAAGGUGCAGCUUGUUUUUAAGUGGAAUGAUGGAUUACAUUGGUUAUUUGUUUAUGGAUUGUUGAUUUUAAUAUUGGCAUGAAAUUGGAUUUAGUUGUAAUAAUUUAUAGAUUAUUAUUAUGAUAUUAGGUUCUGAGAUAUGCACACAUCGCCCGUCGCUCUCGUUUGGUUUAUUGUAAUGAGAUAAGUC
This 419-nucleotide ribosomal RNA is filed under the name Ceylonitermes escherichi. RNAcentral describes it as "partial 12S ribosomal RNA". Lineage: Eukaryota; Metazoa; Arthropoda; Insecta; Blattodea; Termitidae. The record is from RNAcentral.